AAUAUUGGUCUAUGGACGGAAGUCUGAACCAGCCAUGCCGCGUGCAGGAUGACGGCCCUACGGGUUGUAAACUGCUUUUAUAUGGGAAGAAACCCCCCGACGUGUUGGGGGCUGACGGUACCAUAGGAAUAAGGACCGGCUAACUCCGUGCCAGCAGCCGCGGUAAUACGGAGGGUCCGAGCGUUAUCCGGAAUCAUUGGGUUUAAAGGGUGCGCAGGCGGUAAAGUAAGUCAGUGGUGAAAUCCCUUCGCUCAACGAAGGAACUGCCAUUGAUACUGCUAUACUUGAAUAUAGUCGAAGUGGGCGGAAUGUGACAUGUAGCGAUGAAAUGCUUAGAUAUGUCACAGAACACCGAUAGCGAAGGCAGCUCACUAGACUAACAUUGACGCUCAUGCACGAAAGCGUGGGGAGC
RNAcentral lists this ribosomal RNA (412 nucleotides) under uncultured bacterium. RNAcentral's name for it is "bacterial SSU rRNA". It matches the Rfam family "Bacterial small subunit ribosomal RNA", at positions 360 to 769 of the family's 1533-position model. The record is from RNAcentral.